CGCGUAGGCGGUCCUAUAAGUCCUGUGUGAAAUCCCCCGGCUCAACUGGGGAAUUGCACGGGAAACUGUGGGGCUUGAGUUCGGGAGAGGGAAGCGGAAUUCCGGGUGUAGCGGUGAAAUGCGUAGAUAUCCGGAGGAACACCGGUGGCGAAGGCGGCUUCCUGGACCGACACUGACGCUGAUGCGCGAAAGCUAGGGGAGCAAACG
Molecule: ribosomal RNA, 207 nt
Filed under: uncultured bacterium
Lineage: Bacteria
Description: partial 16S ribosomal RNA
Rfam family: Bacterial small subunit ribosomal RNA
Source: RNAcentral